RNAcentral lists this ribosomal RNA (465 nucleotides) under uncultured bacterium. RNAcentral describes it as "partial 16S ribosomal RNA". It matches the Rfam family "Bacterial small subunit ribosomal RNA", at positions 28 to 507 of the family's 1533-position model. The record is from RNAcentral.
GAUGAACGCUGGCGGCGUGCUUAACACAUGCAAGUCGAACGGAAAGGCUCCUGCUUGCAGGGGUACUCGAGUGGCGAACGGGUGAGUAACACGUGGGUGAUCUGCCCCGCACUUCGGGAUAAGCCUGGGAAACUGGGUCUAAUACCGGAUAGGACGAUGGUUUGGAUGCCAUUGUGGAAAGUUUUUCGGUGUGGGAUGAGCUCGCGGCCUAUCAGCUUGUUGGUGGGGUAAUGGCCUACCAAGGCGUCGACGGGUAGCCGGCCUGAGAGGGUGUACGGCCACAUUGGGCCUGAGAUACGGCCCAGACUCCUACGGGAGGCAGAAGUGGGGAAUAUUGCACAAUGGGCGCAAGCCUGAUGCAGCGACGCCGCGUGGGGGAUGACGGCCUUCGGGUUGUAAACUCCUUUCGCUAGGGACGAAGCGCAAGUGACGGUACCUGGAGAAGAAGCACCGGCUAACUACGUG